GACGAACGCUGGCGGCGUGCUUAACACAUGCAAGUCGAACGGUAAGGCUCCAGCUUGUUGGGGUACACGAGUGGCGAACGGGUGAGUAACACGUGGGUGACCUGCCCUGCACUUCGGGAUAAGCCUGGGAAACUGGGUCUAAUACCGGAUAGGACCGCACCGAGGGGGGGGGGCGGAAAGUCUUUUCGGUGUGGGUUGGGCGCGCGGCCUAUCGGCUUGUUGGUGGGGUAAUGGCCUACCAAGGCGGCGACGGGUAGUCGGCAUGAGAAGGUAGACGGCCACCAUGGGACUGAGGGACGGACCAGACUGCUACGGGAGGCAGCAGUGGGAAAUAUUGCACAAUGGGCGGAAGCCUGAUGCAGCGACGCCGCGUGGGGGAUGACGGCCUUCGGGUUGUAAACACCUUUCACCAUCGACGAAGGGUUUCUGACGGUAGAUGGAGAAGAAGCACCGGCUAACUACGUG
RNAcentral lists this ribosomal RNA (465 nucleotides) under uncultured bacterium. RNAcentral describes it as "partial 16S ribosomal RNA". It matches the Rfam family "Bacterial small subunit ribosomal RNA", at positions 28 to 507 of the family's 1533-position model. The record is from RNAcentral.